AGAGCCGACCAUCUCCCACUCGAGCUGCCCCCGCCCUCUGGACCCGAGUGACUCAGGCCUUUGUUUGUCCUUCCUGGUAGAGGCGGGUUCCCUCCCUCGGCAAGAUGCCGGAGUGCUGGGAUGGGGAACAUGACAUCGAGACACCCUACGGCCUUCUGCAUGUAGUGAUCCGGGGCUCCCCCAAGGGGAACCGCCCAGCCAUCCUCACCUACCAUGAUGUGGGCCUCAACCACAAACUAUGCUUCAACACCUUCUUCAACUUCGAGGACAUGCAGGAGAUCACCAAGCACUUUGUGGUGUGUCACGUGGAUGCCCCUGGACAACAGGUGGGGGCGUCGCAGUUUCCUCAGGGGUACCAGUUCCCCUCCAUGGAGCAGCUGGCUGCCAUGCUCCCCAGCGUGGUGCAGCAUUUCGGGUUCAAGUAUGUGAUUGGCAUCGGAGUGGGCGCCGGAGCCUAUGUGCUGGCCAAGUUUGCAGUGAGUCUCCCCAUGCCCCCAUUACCCCAAACACCAGGGCAAGCCAGGGAUGUCCCAGUGGUGGGGACUGGGGGGAACCCUUCA
Molecule: small RNA, 560 nt
Filed under: Pan troglodytes (chimpanzee)
Lineage: Eukaryota; Metazoa; Chordata; Mammalia; Primates; Hominidae
Description: retained intron
Source: RNAcentral